AUUGAACGCUGGCGGCAGGCCUAACACAUGCAAGUCGAACGAGUGGCGGACGGGUGAGUAAUGUCUGGGAAACUGCCCGAUGGAGGGGGAUAACUACUGGAAAAGGUAGCUAAUACCGCAUACCAUCGGAUGUGCCCAUAACGGAUUGGCUUGUGGGUUGGGUAACGGCUCACCUAGGCGACGAUCCCUAGCUGGUCGGAGAGGAUGACCAGCCACACUGGAACUGAGACACGGUCCAGACUCAUACGGUAGGCAGCAGUGGGGAAUAUGGCACAAUGGGCGCAACCCUGAUGCAGCCAUGCCGCGUGUAGGAAGAAGGCCUUCGGGUUGUAAAGUACUUUCAGCGAGGAGGCGUUACAGGAAGAAGAAGCACCGGCUAACUCCGUGCCAGCAGCCGCGGUAAUUG
This 406-nucleotide ribosomal RNA is filed under the name uncultured bacterium. RNAcentral's name for it is "partial 16S ribosomal RNA". It matches the Rfam family "Bacterial small subunit ribosomal RNA", at positions 30 to 527 of the family's 1533-position model. The record is from RNAcentral.